Molecule: long non-coding RNA, 226 nt
Filed under: Elaeis guineensis (African oil palm)
Lineage: Eukaryota; Viridiplantae; Streptophyta; Magnoliopsida; Arecales; Arecaceae
Description: long non-coding RNA (EGUI_LNC044146)
Source: RNAcentral
AAUCAUUUGGAGACCUUCAAGGCUGCAAUACUCCUUUAAAGAGCAAUAGAUGCCAUCCUUUGUCGAGCUUUCCCCAUUACUCUCAAGAGGGCCGCUCGAUAAUAGUAUUCAAGCUUGAAGCCAAUCUCCAUUCACUCUUUCAAAAAGCUAUGCUGGGCCUUCAUCGGCCACUUUAUCAGUAGCUGACGAUAGUAGAAGUGAUUCGACUAUCUCCACACCAUCAAGU